This 62-nucleotide transfer RNA is filed under the name Trioza frangulae. RNAcentral's name for it is "tRNA-Cys". Lineage: Eukaryota; Metazoa; Arthropoda; Insecta; Hemiptera; Triozidae. The record is from RNAcentral.
UGUUAAUUUUUUAUUCAAUUAUGAUGUUAAAUUGCAAGUUUAAAGGUGACUAUAAGUUAAAA